RNAcentral lists this long non-coding RNA (1952 nucleotides) under Cricetulus griseus (Chinese hamster). RNAcentral's name for it is "lncRNA (ENSCGRG00000024522.1)". Lineage: Eukaryota; Metazoa; Chordata; Mammalia; Rodentia; Cricetidae. The record is from RNAcentral.
GGGGACUUCUGAGGAGGCGCUACUCCCUCCAGUAAUCAGUAGGAACCAGAGGAACUAAUCAGAAACUGCCAAGCUGGAGGUCAACCAUGAGACCACCUUCCAAGGUUAACGCUAUCACUCACAGAGGGUGGCUGGGCACCUUUCUCCCUCUGGGGGCACUUACUAAAGAACAUGUUCUGAAACACUGCAGGUUACAUCUCAAGGGGGGUGAGGGGCAUGACCCUGAUGAGCUGAACUCCCAGGAUCCUUUCAACACCAGCAAGCAACUGAACUCGGAAGGCAAUGGCUGGAGAGAAACAGGCAGAGGAAGGAUUGAAGGACAGAAGGACAUGUCCCCGAUCGCCUACCUCGCAACAGUUCCCAAGAGAUGCUCUCUGAGCCACCUCUGUGGAAAACAACAACUUAGAAAAGACAGAAGUGAAUUGAAAGACCUUUUCCAGGUUUGGGGCCAAGAGACUCUCAGAAUAGUCUCGACAAACAGAAAGCUAUUAACAAACCAGCUGAGCAGGUGUUGGAGGACAUCCCAGGAGAAGGCUGGCAUAUGCUGAAAAUUGCAGGAGGCAGCUACACUCUCCAGGGACAGAGAACAAAAAGAAGAGGCCAGCAUUAUCUGGACCCAGGAUGUCAGAAGGGAAGGCCUCCUGAGUGGGGCCCAGCCUGGGGGCUGCCUGCCUCCAGGGGGACACUAGGAACUUCAGCUCAGAAGUGUUGAAAAAUCACAGAAACCAGAACUAUGAGCCUUCUCCAGAAGCCGUCCUUGAAUACCCUGACAGGAACAGGAUACAAAAGUCUGAAGACGACCCUGCAGCCUCCAGUGUGCCCUUCAUGUCUGUGGUCAGAGUGUCUCAGGGAGCCAGCCUGAGACAGAUGGAUACGACUUGCUGAUUCUUCCCUUUUCAUAAAGGCUUCAGCAGGGAUCCCCUUAAGAGGACCCCAUUUAGCAUCCCUUGCUGGGCCUUGUUGCCAGCGGUCCUGCUAGCUGUUCAGUGAAGCAGACUCCUUUGUAGGCAAAGUCUUCCAUGAAUGCACCUUCAAAGUGCCUUUCCUUCGUUUCAACUAAAACGUUUGGAGAAAACUGAGCAUGCCUGGAGGCAUUUGUGCCUGCCAUCUUUACAAAAAGCUUAAGCAAGCUGAACAUCCCCAAAGUAUUCCUGUCCACCAUAGACACAUUCUUGUCCGUGACCUAAGCAUGGUUCUAAGUGUGUCUGAGUAUGUUCAGACUCGCCAGUGAAGUCCAAGCUUCCUCUGUUCAGGGAGGAACAUGUUUGGAAAUCCCCAUUUUUAUUUACCAAUUAUAAGAAAUAAAUCUCUUUUCCUGCUCCUUCUGUCCUUCUCACUACAUAGCCCUGGCUGGCCUGGAAUUAACAAAGAUCCACCUACCCCUGCUGAAAGAGUGCUGGGAUUAAGAGCAUAUACCACCACGUCUGGCUCUUAUGAUUUAGCUAUGUUUUUGGGUUUUGUUGUUGUUUUCAUUCUAUACGCACCAAGAUGUGAACUCCUUGAAUUUAAUGAUCAUCCUAGAAUUAGAAUUUAACGAAGUUCACAUGCACCAGCUGGGUUUUGUUUUAUUUUUGUUUGUUUGGUUUUGGUUUUUGGUGGUAAGGUUUCUCUGUGGCUUUGGAGGCUGUCCUGGAACUAGGUCUUGUAGACCAGGCUGGUCUCACCCACAGAAAUCCGCCUGCCUCUGGCUCCUGAGUGCUGGGAUUAAAGGCAUGUGCCAUCACCACCCGGCUGUUUUUUUGUUUUGUUUAAGAUUCAUUUUAUUUAAGCUAGUAAACAAGGAGGACCCUAAGAGAGACAUACAUGGUCCCCUGGAGAAGGGGAAAGGGUCAAGAUCCCCUGAGCAAAUUGAGAGCACGGGAAGAGGGGGGAGGGGGAGGGAGCUACAAGAAUGAGAAGGGAAGAAGAGGAAGGAUGCAGAGGUCUUGAGGGAGCAGAAAGGCUGAGUCAGG